RNAcentral lists this ribosomal RNA (1474 nucleotides) under metagenome. Its description in RNAcentral is "bacterial SSU rRNA". It matches the Rfam family "Bacterial small subunit ribosomal RNA". The record is from RNAcentral.
AGAGUUUGAUCCUGGCUCAGGACGAACGCUGGCGGCGUGCCUAACACAUGCAAGUCGAACGGACGAGGCCCCUUCGGGGACCGAGUUAGUGGCGGACGGGUGAGUAACGCGUGAGCAACCUGCCUUUCAGAGGGGGACAACAGUUGGAAACGACUGCUAAUACCGCAUGAUGCAGCGAGAUCGCAUGGUCUUGCUGUCAAAGAUUUAUCGCUGAAAGAUGGGCUCGCGUCUGAUUAGCUAGUUGGAGGGGUAACGGCCCACCAAGGCGACGAUCAGCAGCCGGACUGAGAGGUUGAACGGCCACAUUGGGACUGAGAUACGGCCCAGACUCCUACGGGAGGCAGCAGUGGGGAAUAUUGGGCAAUGGGGGAAACCCUGACCCAGCAACGCCGCGUGAAGGAAGAAGGCUUUCGGGUUGUAAACUUCUUUUACCAGGGACGAAGAACGUGACGGUACCUGGAGAAAAAGCCACGGCUAACUACGUGCCAGCAGCCGCGGUAAUACGUAGGUGGCAAGCGUCGUCCGGAUUUACUGGGUGUAAAGGGCGUGUAGGCGGAGCUGCAAGUCAGAUGUGAAAUCUGGGGGCUUAACCCUCAAACUGCAUUUGAAACUGUAGCCCUUGAGUAUCGGAGAGGCAGGCGGAAUUCCUAGUGUAGCGGUGAAAUGCGUAGAUAUUAGGAAGAACACCAGUGGCGAAGGCGGCCUGCUGGACGACAACUGACGCUGAGGCGCGAAAGCGUGGGGAGCAAACAGGAUUAGAUACCCUGGUAGUCCACGCUGUAAACGAUGAAUACUAGGUGUGGGGGGACUGACCCCCUCCGUGCCGGAGUUAACACAAUAAGUAUUCCACCUGGGGAGUACGACCGCAAGGUUGAAACUCAAAGGAAUUGACGGGGGCCCGCACAAGCAGUGGAUUAUGUGGUUUAAUUCGACGCAACGCGAAGAACCUUACCGGGAUUUGACAUCCUACUAACGAAGCAGAGAUGCAUUAGGUGCCCUUCGGGGAAAGUAGAGACAGGUGGUGCAUGGUUGUCGUCAGCUCGUGUCGUGAGAUGUUGGGUUAAGUCCCGCAACGAGCGCAACCCCUAUUGUUAGUUGCUACGCAAGAGCACUCUAGCGAGACUGCCGUUGACAAAACGGAGGAAGGCGGGGACGACGUCAAAUCAUCAUGCCCCUUAUGUCCCGGGCUACACACGUAAUACAAUGGCGGUCAACAAAGGGAAGCAAAGCCGCGAGGCAGAGCAAACCCCCAAAAGCCGUCUCAGUUCGGAUUGCAGGCUGCAACUCGCCUGCAUGAAGCUGGAAUUGCUAGUAAUCGUGGAUCAGAAUGCCACGGUGAAUACGUUCCCGGGCCUUGUACACACCGCCCGCCACACCUUGAGAGUCGGGAACACCCGAAGUCCGUAGUCUAACCCGCAAGGGAGGGCGCGGCCGAAGGUGGGUCUGAUAAUUGGGGUGAAGUCGUAACAAGGUA